This 301-nucleotide unclassified non-coding RNA is filed under the name Apiotrichum sp. Its description in RNAcentral is "partial contains 5.8S ribosomal RNA, internal transcribed spacer 2, and large subunit ribosomal RNA". The stretch from base 1 to 71 matches the Rfam family "5.8S ribosomal RNA", at positions 84 to 154 of the family's 154-position model. The record is from RNAcentral. Lineage: Eukaryota; Fungi; Basidiomycota; Tremellomycetes; Trichosporonales; Trichosporonaceae.
GUGAAUCAUCGAAUCUUUGAACGCAACUUGCGCUCUCUGGUAUUCCGGAGAGCAUGCCUGUUUGAGUGUCAUGAAAUCUCAACCAUUAGGGUUUCUUAAUGGCUUGGAUUUGGAGGUUGCCAUUCUGAAUGGCUCCUCUCAAAAGAGUUAGCGAGUUUAACUAUUGCUAUCUGGCGUAAUAAGUUUCGCUGGAAUGGUAUUGUGAAGCGCGCUUCUAAUCGUCUUCGGACAAUUACUUUGACUCUGGCCUCAAAUCAGGUAGGACUACCCGCUGAACUUAAGCAUAUCAAUAAGCGGAGGA